AGCGAGAGCCACACCACUCCCAGAAGCCUCCUCAGCACACCAUUUGCCACCUGCUUUCUCCAAAAUAAGGAGCAGUCCGAGGAAUCUUCCCACUCUAGGGGAGAGCGCUGCACAGAUCUGCAGGUCUGCAGACUUCUGAAAUGAGCAAAACCAGGGGCUGUGGAUAAAAUACUACCCUCAGAGCUCCAGAACAAUCACUGGCCUUUCUUGGAGCCCAGUGUAAUCUGCCAACGAGUCAAGCUGCCACACCCAACAGAACUCUUGGAUAGGAUCAGGAAUGGAGAAUGACUUUCAGGUGUCACAAAAGGAAAGACAGCAUUUUAUCGGAGAAUUAGCCACCAUCUAUGGCUGGAAGGCACCACACCUCCAAGGUGAAUGUCAAAUAUUAGCUUACUCAGAGCAAUAAACCCCUCCCCAAGUCAAAGCUGCUGAGAUAUGAACCAAGGAAAUCAGCCAAGGCCUGACCUGCUCCAGCCUUCAGUCCCAGAGGCCUCUGUGUUGCCACUCAGUCACCAGCCCUAAGUGAGUCUCUUCUACCUUAUUUGUAGGUCACAAUAGCUGCCCUGUCCUGAGUGCUUCCUAGGUUUCUGGGCCAAUGGUGGAAAUGUUACAGACAUUUAUAAUCCUCCCAAGAAGUCUAGGAUGGAGGUGUUUGUAUCCUGAAUAUCAGGUGAAGAAAUGGAGGCUCAGGAAUGUUAAGCCACUUUCCCACAGGCUCAGCCAACCAGGGGCAGCCCUGAAACCUAACAUUGGGCAAGGUCUCCCAGGAUUGCCAGAGCACAGAAGCCUGCCCCUCUGAAAAAGAGGGCUGCACUCCAUCCCUGCAGCACCCCUGCUCUGCUCCAAGCUGGGACUCUGCUGCACAGCUGGCCCUUGCAUCUCCUCAGCAUUUGUUCAAAUUGCUAUGACCAGUUACCAGGGUACUUAAAGGCAGUUAAUGUGAGUACUAGCAGGAGACUUGGAGAGGUCAUUCCAAUCUGCUCACUCUGUAAUCUUUGAAGCCAAUAGAUAUUUGAGAAGCAAGUCACCAGAUUAUAAUUUUAAAAACAAAAUUGCAUUAAAAUUUGAUUACCAAAUUUAAUUUAUCUAUGAGGUAAAGUCCUGGGCCCUCUUCGUAAUUCCUUUUCACUUUUUGAACUACAAAUCCUUAACCCCCCUUUUCUCAGAUUGGAAAUUGCACUGAGAGAUUGUUAGGGUGGCUCCUGACCAGCUGCUCAACCCCAAGAGAUGAACGUCCAGCCAUCAAUGGGCACCCAGGGCUGUUCUCUGUAAGUACCCACUGCCCUGUGCCCAGGGAUACCUGGAAGAGCAGCUGGGGCACAGCCCUCACCCAGGAGUGCCUGGCUUGGGUCAUGCUAUGCCUUUCCUGACUGCUUUUUGCCUGGUCCCUGGUUUGCUUCCCAGUGCUCUCUGGGUCUUGGGGCCUCCCUGUACCCUAUCCAUCUUCCCUUGCUCUGGCACUCCUGUCUUCACUCCAUGCCCUCACAUUAAUUCAGAUGUGCCUCUCUGAUCAGUGCCCUCCCAGGACCAGCCAACCCCUGAAUAUUGGUUCCAGCCUGGCACUGACGUUCUCUAGGGCCCAUUUCCUGUUUUUUCUGCGAGCCCAUUUCUCGGGACAGCUCCCUCUUCCCUUCAUCCUUGCUUUACUUCUAAUACAGUCCCUGGAGGGUCCAAGCUGCACCUUAUGCUCUUAUUCCCUCACCCCUUCCUUUCAAGUUCAUCCCCUGCCCUGUCUGUCCCACAGCAGCUGAAGUAGUUGCCUGUAGAAAUCUCCAGAGUAGGGGGAGGUGCCACUGCUUCCCAUCUACCAUAUUUUGCUGCGUAUAAUGUGCACUUUUUUGCCCAGAUUUCUGAAUGAAAAAUAAAGAUGCAUAUUAUACAUGGGUAGUACUAAUUCUGUAUCUAUAUAAAUGUUUUUAAUUCUUUUAUUUAUGCUUAUGCAUUAAAAGUAUAAUUCUACAGAAAGCAAUAAUGAUAUCUUAUGCAAAAUAAUACCCUGGAAUAUGAUCAUUGGUUUUGUUUCUAAAUAUAAAUAAGUAAUUGAAUUAAAAAGUUAAAACAAAAGGUGUUUUUUCCUGAAAGUUUAGGCCAAAAAUGUGAGUGUGCAUUAUACACAGCAAAAUACAGUAAUUCUCAGCCACCUUUUUUUUAACUGGCUACCCAGAUGCCUCUGAACUGUACCUUUUAACUAUGCCAAGGCAAAUGCUAAGAUUAGAUGAUUUAGUCCCUUCUGCAGUGACCUGUGAUUCUCAGAUGUGUGUGGCAGCAGCUGAGAUUCAGUACACUUGAAGAGAGGGACUCAGUUUCUGGGAGCAUUCUGGUCCACUACACAGGGAGGUGAGGACCUGUGUGCCUGUUACUGAACACAGGGUGAGGUCUGUGUUAGUAGUUAGAAUGGACAGAAGAAGGAACUAACCAUUAAUGGUGGGUGUAGGAAGAUGCACCAGAUAUCCAACAUGAAUUGGAUAACUUCUUGGCCGAUUGUCAUACAGAAAACCUUAUUGCUGGACCCGAUGGUCAAAUAAAAGGACCAAUUUUAAGGUUUUACAAUUUAACAAAAGACCUGGCUUUUGCAGUCAUAUUACUUCAUCACUGAGCUUACCUCGACUCCCAUUUAAACUUAGGCAACAGGAUGACCUUGUGAGAGUUCUGAUUACCAAGCAGCCAGAGGCAUUUUUUCUGGUCUUCUGGUCAACCCUUCAGUUCCUUAAAGCUACCAAAUACCAAUAUCAGUGGCCUCUCUUGAUUCUGGCCAGAGAAUUAAGCUCAGCCCUAAAGAGACUUGAAAUAGAAUACUUAAAAAGAACUUGGACAUUAAAGUUCCAAGACUGAGCAGAAGGGAAGGUAUUUACUAGAGAUUGCAAACCGAUGCCUUUGACUCAACUUAAAUAUCUUCCCCCUGGACGAUGUUUUUUCAUCUCAAACAGCAUGCUAGUUUUGGUGUUGGUAUUCUAUAUGUGUUUACUUACAGUUACAACUGCUGUAUACCAUGAGAGCAGAAAUGCCUCGCCUUUCCCAUAUUCUCUGAGUGGUGCAGUGGGGUUGAGUGGUGGCCAGCCUCCAAAGAGGUAUGUCCAAUUCUUAACCUGAGAAACCUAUGAAUGUGAUGUUAUUUGGAAAAGGAUUUUUGUAGACACAAUUAAAUUAGGGAUCUCAAGAUGCAAGCAUCCUGGAAUUUCCCACUGGGCCCUACAUCCAAUGACAACUGUCCUUUAAAAAGGCACACUAACGAGAGACACACAGAGAAAAGAGCACAAAAUCACGUGAGGACAGAGGCAGAGACUGGAGUCACACAAGAAACAAGGACUGCCUGGAGCCACCUGGAACUGGGAAGAGACAAGAGAAUUUCCUCCCUUAGAGCCUUCGGAGGGAGCAGCGCCCCCCUCCCCCCGCCAAGAACCUUAGUCUUGGACUUCCAGCCUCCAGAACCAUGAGACAAUCCAUUUCUGUUGUUUGAAGUCACCCCAUUUGUGGUAACUUGUUGUGGAUACAGGUGGCUAUAAUUCUGGUGUUUGUAUUACCACCAGGACAAGGCUUAGCAGAACCUCUGGAUCUGGAAUGUCAGACUAAGGGGAUCUGCGUGGACAUUUUCAAGUUCAAAUUGGCUACACUCCACACCUCAGCCUUCCCAGAUCACGAGACAGUUGAGAUGACCGAGGAGACUCCCCCAUUUACAAACAGCAGAGCUUACUAUCUGUGCCUCUGCUGUGUCCCCCAGACACCAGGGAGGCAGCCACUGCUGGCCAGCUUUCAGGCGUCAGCUUUGCUCUGGAGAGUAGUGGCUUUGACUCAUGACCUGACACAUUAUCUGCAGAAGCAGAAAAAGGCCACGUAAGGAGUGGACAGGAGUCUAGCUUCUACGGUCCAGACAAAAGCAACAAUAAACAGGCAAAAGUG
This is a long non-coding RNA of Artibeus jamaicensis (Jamaican fruit-eating bat), 3897 nucleotides long. RefSeq lists it as uncharacterized. The transcript is spliced from 3 exons. The record is from RefSeq and is a predicted model, not a curated record. Lineage: Eukaryota; Metazoa; Chordata; Mammalia; Chiroptera; Phyllostomidae.